ACCAGCCUGCAAAAAAGAGCAGAGGUCUCAGGGGACACCAAGUAUUUGGAGGAAUCUUGAUUGUGUUUGGCUCCAAGGGAGGAGCGUAGGGGCAAAUUUCAGAGCCAGCAUUCUGCCCCAGGUUGGGUAUCAAAGAUGAUGCAAGGUGAGGAGAGAGGUGGAACAGAGGGAAACCUUUUAAGAGGGAAUCAAUGGCAUGUCAUGAUGAAAUGCAGGACAUGAUCAGAGGUCCUGAAGUGAGCUGGUUGGGAGAGUUUAGGAGCUUGGGCUGACUUGAAGAAAGGAAUGAUGAUGCUUUGGGUACUGAGAAAGUAAUUUUUUUUUUUACUUUAUUUUUUUAUUGAAGUAUAGUUGAUUUACAGUGUUUUGUUAGUUUUAGGUGUACAGCAAAGUGAUUCAGUUAUACAUAUACAUAUAUAUAUAUAUAUUUUUCCCCCCCAGAUUCUUUUUUUUUCCCUUAAAGGUUAUCUCAGAAGUCUCGAACUGUCCUCGUUUGUUUUCAUUCCUUUAUUCUGUUCCGUGGCAGUGAUUUCCACCACUGUGUAUUCCAACUCACUUAUCCAUUCUUCUGCCUCUUUUAUUCUGUUGAUUCCUUCUAGGUAUGUUUUUCACUUCAGUUAUUGUAUCCUUCCACUCUGUCUGGUUGUUAUCUUUUAUAACUCUUUAAAACUCUUUGUAACUUCUCUGUGCAUCUGUUCUUUCCCAUAUUCUUGGGUAGAUUGCUGAUCUCCACAUCAGUUAAGUUGCAUUUCUGAGGUUUUAUCUUGUUCUCUUGUCCGAAACAUAUUCCUGUGCCAUCUCAUUUUGUCUAAACUUCUGCGUGUUUUUCUGUGUAUUUGGAAGGUUAGUUGUGUUUCUCAAACUUGGAGAAGUGGCGCUUUACGGGGGCUGUCCUAUAUGUCUCAGCAGUACACUCCGCUCGCAUCACCCAGGGGCCAGAGGCUAGCUGGCGCCUUCCUGCUGGGAGGUGGGCCUGGGUCUUGGCUCUCUGGUGGGCAGGGCCAUGUUAUGGGUUGUGUCUACAGGUGGCUGUGGGUUCAGGAACUCUUUAGAGAGCCUGUCUGCUUAUGUCUGUGGCGGUGUUCCUGCUCUGUUGGUUGGUUGGCCUGAGGCUUCCCGUUCCUGGAGCCUAUGGGAUGUUGGGUAGGACCAGGUCUUGGUACGAAUAAGCCAAUAUGUUAGGCACCAGGAUUGUCAUGUGGUUGAACAUAACCCAGUAUGCCUGCCAUCAGUGUCUGUCCAGACAGUGAGCCACAGCUGACUCCUGUUUCCUCAGGAGAUCCUCCAAGACCCGCAGGUAGGUCUGAUGUAGGUUCCUGUGAAGUCACUGCUUUUACCCUGGGUUCUGCUUACACAUGACCUUGUGUAUGUCCUCCAAGAGUGAAGUCUUACUUCCCCCCCGAACUGUGGAGAGCCUACACUCCUGCUGGCUUUUGAAGCCAAAUCUCUGGGGGCUGCUACUCCUGAUGUCAGACCCCCAGGCGGGGAGCCUGAAGUGAGGCUCAGAACUCACUCCUGUGGGGAGAACUCUUGUAAUAUAAUUGUUCUCCAGUUUGUGGGUCACCCACCUGGGUGGAGGGAAUGUGAGAUCUGCUUGUAUCAUAAGUGCACCCCUUGAUCUUGUUGGGUUUCUUCUUUGUCUUUGGAUAUAUAGUACCCUUUUUAGGUAGGUUCCAGUCUUUUUAUUGAUGGCCGUUUACCAGUUGUGAUUUUUGUGUGCUCAUGAGAGGAGGUGAGCUUAGAGUCCUUCUACUCUACCAUCUUGUCCCCCAUCUGACUUGAAUGAGGAAGGACGAACCUCUGGAGCGGAGAACUAGGUCACUGGGGGACCAGGAAGGAAGGAAGCAUUUCAUGGUUCCUUUUGACUAACAGCCAUUACUGCAGCCUAUUAAAAACAUUUAGAAACAGUAAUGUGUAGGUACAGGAGAGAGAGGUGCAUAGGAGAAAACCAAAGCUCAGGGAACAUAAGCACUGACAAUAAAAUGAGACCCUGAGUGCUGGACCACCACCACCCCACUGAAACCCUCCCACUCACCAUCGCUAACACGCUGAUAAAUGAGGACCACAUCUGCCACCUGCAGAGAGAGUUCAUCUGGCUGCUUGGCAGUAAAUGACCGAAUGAUUUCCACUUGGGUCAGUGCUGAGGGGGAAAGAGGACAUAAUGAGAAACGCAACAAGGACAAAUCAAUAAUUUGCAUUCAUUCAGCCACCAUGGAUAGAAAAAAGGUAGGCUUCCAAAAAGAAGCAGAAAUUAGUUUCCCUUACUUGGCCACGAGCUUCAGAGUUAGAAGCUCAGAAUCAAGAGAGGCCUUUUAUGAUACAUGAAUCCCCUCAAAAUUAGCUUUGAUAAGUCAUUAGAUACAUCACACAAUACAACCGGAAACAGCCACUGGGGAAACUGAGGCAAGACAGAAUGGGUAUGUGCCAAGGCCAUGCAGCUGAGGAUAAAACCCAGAAUCUGUGCGGUUCUCCUGGCUCUCACCCAGGGUGCUGCCCCAGCCCACCCAGCAGCACCUGAGAGCUGCCCGAGAAGGGUAGAAAUAAAAGAAGUUCCAGCCAAAUGUUAGAUCCUAACAAUCUUUUACUUCAGUGACUUGCUCCUGGCUGACCUAAGUUCUUACUUUGUUUUUUAAUAUGAAACUUGAUUCCAGAGAAAUUUCAAGCCAGUCCCUUUAGCUUUGACUUUAAGCUGUGAUUUGUGAGUGCUCCAGGAGAUCCAGUUUUGUUGCCCUGGUCCUUUGAAUUUGCACUUCCAGCUAGAAUCACCCAGAGCAGCGUAACGUCAAAGCAACAUGCUUAGCACAUGGCACUGCCCUUCACUGUGUCAGCUAGGGCCCCCUAGAAAAAUAAAAUAUUUCUAAUAUUAUUUAAUAACAAAAAGUCAAAAGGAAGGGUAAAGUGAUUUACCUUAAGGUUAAAAAUACACUUUAGUAUGGAGAAGGUCUAAACAUGCUAUUACUGCCCACUGACAAACUAGAAAUGUAGGAGCUUGACAGUACAAGCAAGGCGGUCACUGUGAAUUUAACUUUACUCUCACUAUCGUAUGUAAUGAUGCCCCUGACUUGCAGGCGAUUUAGAGACUCAGGGAGGCUAUGCAAUGAUCUGCCACGUUACAGAGCAAAGAACUGCACUUCAGGUUGGAAUCUGUCCCCUUGUCUUCCAAAGCGGGGUGCAUCCAGUGCCGAUGUGGGGCAGCAAGGGGGAAACCUUGGGACCUUACUAAGCGGGUAGUGUGGCAUUUAACCACUGACAACCCAGCAACCAGCAGGGGGCAGAGCUCUCCAUCUUUCAGACUGGCAGCCCUCCGGCUACUUACAGGUCCGAUCUGGAGGCUGCUUCCCACUGCUGUGUCCCAGCGCAGUUAUCCAACGGGCUCGCUCACUCCUAAACGCAGAGAACAUCCAGUUGAGAGAUUCAACAGUGCUUAGACACAGAAUGAAGUAUGUUCUAGAAUGUAAAGGCUUCUUUUCCCCCAAAACAGGGCAGAGAUUCUCUAGAAAGGUUCAACGAGAAUUUCUAAAGUACAAAGGCAAUUGAAAACUAAACAGUAUCUUAAGGAUAGAAGCGCUGUUUGCCAAGCAUAACCUGAAAUGAUCCAUCUGUGUCUCCACACGCCAUAUCCAAACCCAUCUGGCUCACCAUGGCAUCUUCACACGGCCCUUACCGCCGUCUGCAGUCCUCAGCGUGGACCCUUCUCUGGCCCUGAGUGACUGGUCCCAGCAGCAGCCUCACCCUGCAGCCGGCUUCCAGAAGUCCAGAUGAAAUCUUUCUCCUGUGGCACACUGCCUGGAUGCUAAUGGCAUCCUUUAGACACAGCGGCCCCUCACAGGGACUCCAGGGCACAGAACAAGACACUCCUUGUUGCCUUGCUGAAAGGAGCCGCUUCUUGAAAGGGCUUCAAUGGGAUCAGCCCCACCCCCUCUGAGAUGCCAUCAAAACCGCACGACAUUACCCGGGGCUUCCACAAACUGUGCCAAGGAGCUCCCACCCGUCGUGAGGCGGAAAGCGCUGCAUCUCUAAAGCUGGGAAGAGACUUGGUCCACGUAAAAUGGAAUUCUAAGAACAAGAAAACCCUGAGCAUAGACAUACCCAUUAUUAAAUUUAGAUAUGAGGUCCAGGGCGCUCACAAGCAGACAGCUAUUUUCUCUAGGGACAAUGAGACAACACAAAUUAACAGUCCACACCACACCUAGUUCAUUGAGAUUUCCCUCUGCCCAAACAAAGUGCCAGAAUCAACAACCAAUCCCGCUAAUGGAGACCCAGGGCAGGUCAACUUUUAAGGCACUUCUGACCCCUCCUUUCAACCAGCAUUCACCAAGUCCCUGCCUUUGCAGGAGCCCUGCGGUAGGCAGGGGUUGCUAAGUGAGUAGUAAGGAGUCUCUUGCUCUUCACAGCCAUCAGUGAGGGAUCAGAGCAAAAGACAAACAGAAUCCAAUGCAUCCUGCAUUGUGCUGGGAUGGCACCUUCUCCGUAAAACCCAUCUGACCGGGAGAGAAAGGAGACCGAGCUGAGGAGAGACCCCUUUGACAUAGAUAUCUGGAAACGCAGUCCUUUCUAUCUGCAUGGCAUGAAAGGAUGCACCUCCAGUUCUUCCCCACUCAGGAGUCAGCCAUCGUAGCACCAUGACCUGUCCCUUACGUGAUUAUGCAUAGGUUUAAACUUAAUUGCACAAAAGUCAAAGAUACAGCCAAGCUGGACUUUCAUUGACUAUCAGGCAUCUGCUAGAAAAGACGGAUACAUCCCGAGAAAAUGGAAAGCACUGUUUGAAACGGGCAGGAGUGUGGAUUAGGUGGAAGGGAAUGAAUGUGCCCACAGAGGGCUUCACUAUUGGAGGGGGUCAUCCUGGUCUUUCAAUAGAAGCCCAGAGACUUCAGCUGCUGUUUGACCUUCCUUUAUCUCUCUUAAAAUGGCAUUUGACCAGACACCUUUUGUGCUCCUUCUCACAGCCUACAAAUUUACCAACAGUUCCUUUUGAAACUCCUGUACCCAUGGCCUUUGGAGAAAAAGUCCCCUCAGCCUUCCUAAGGUGAUCAUGGAGACCACUGUUUCUGUUCAUUCUCUCACACAUUCAGUUCAACGAGAUGAAUUCAACGUGUGAUCCAGAGAAAACCCACAGGGCAGAAAACAUUCUCAUGAAUGCUAUGCAACAAAGCCUUAUAAAGCUGUACCAGCUCAAUUUAUUUAAAAAAAAAUCUAACCAAAGCAGUUGCCCUUGCUCACUAAGAGUUUUUUAAAAUUUAUAUUCUGUGACAUGCUAUAUAGUUAAAUCAGUUGUUUCUUGUCUGUCCUAUCAAACAGCUCAUGAGACCUAGUCUGGUCCACAAAUCCUAGGGUUAAUUUGAAGUGGAUCAGCUACUACCUGUUUCCUUUAAAAAAAAAAAAAAAAAGACCAACGCCAUCACCUGCUCUCCUUUUCCUGGAUAUCAGUGAUGAGGAAUCACCAAAGUUUAAGUAUCCUGAUGGGCACCUACAAAUGUAAAAGAUUAUUAGACGUAGGUU
Cervus elaphus (red deer) is the source of this 5499-nucleotide long non-coding RNA. RefSeq lists it as uncharacterized. The transcript has 2 exons. NCBI's taxonomy places the organism in Eukaryota, Metazoa, Chordata, Mammalia, Artiodactyla, Cervidae. The record is from RefSeq and is a predicted model, not a curated record.